This is a non-coding RNA of Peromyscus maniculatus bairdii (prairie deer mouse), 801 nucleotides long. NCBI's taxonomy places the organism in Eukaryota, Metazoa, Chordata, Mammalia, Rodentia, Cricetidae. The record is from RefSeq and is a predicted model, not a curated record.
GUAAAUCCCCAGGAUGCCUCUGGACAGUCCUACCAGGCAGCAGGGCAGCCAACCUGUGCCAGCCUGCAGUGUGAAGCCCUAAAGCUUUGGCAUCUCUUGCCGGGCACAGAGCCAGGCGCCUGGCAGGGCCCCAAGAACUACUUUCAGCAAAAUCUCCAGUCCACUCGGCAGUGGUGGGAAGCGGGAGGCCAGAGUGAGCCGGGAGAGAUCCAGGGGCUCCUGCACAGAGGCCCCAGCUUCCAGGAAGAAGAACGCACUGCCAGCACUUCCUGUUUCUCUAGUCACAUCCUUCUUGCUUCACCAACAUCCCUGAGGGUUCUGGGUGGAGACCCCACCCCCCACCCCCCACCCGGGCUUCGUAGACUUCCCUAGAGAUGGCCCCACAGAACGAUGGAGAGCAUCAUCCCAGGCCCUUAAGGGACAAGGCAGCAGGACGGUGUGUGGGUUAGGACUUCCUGAGAGCUGUUCAAACAGACCAGAACAUCAGAGGUACUUACAAUAGGGCCUGGAGGACCUGGAGAGCCGCGCAUGCCAGGUGGACCCUGCAGAAGAAACCAAAGGAACAAGAUGGAGAGUCUGAGGCCCCACGGUAACCUGUGUUACAGUACCUGCCUCCAUCCAGCUCCCGGAGGCUGCAGAUGGGAGAAGACGGCUGAUGUCAAGGCAGAACCAUUUAGCUGAUGUUAAAAUGGCCUUUCAUUCAGUUCAUUCAGUCAUCCAACAAACAUUUAUUGAGCAGCUAUUAUGUGCCGGGCACAGGCCCAGGGGCUGGGAACAUAGCCAUAAACAAAACAUUAAAAU